GAGUUUGAUCCUGGCUCAGGAUGAACGCUAGCGAUAGGCUUAACACAUGCAAGUCGAGGGGCAGCAUGAUCUUAGCUUGCUAAGGUUGAUGGCGACCGGCGCACGGGUGCGUAACGCGUAUGCAACUUGCCUUACAGAGGGGGAUAACCCGUUGAAAGACGGACUAAAACCGCAUACACUUGUAUUAUUGCAUGAUAUUACAAGGAAAUAUUUAUAGCUGUAAGAUAGGCAUGCGUCCCAUUAGCUAGUUGGUGAGGUAACGGCUCACCAAGGCGACGAUGGGUAGGGGAACUGAGAGGUUUAUCCCCCACACUGGUACUGAGACACGGACCAGACUCCUACGGGAGGCAGCAGUGAGGAAUAUUGGUCAAUGGGCGAGAGCCUGAACCAGCCAAGUCGCGUGAAGGAAGACUGUCCUAAGGAUUGUAAACUUCUUUUAUACGGGAAUAACGGGCGAUACGAGUAUUGCAUUGAAUGUACCGUAAGAAUAAGCAUCGGCUAACUCCGUGCCAGCAGCCGCGGUAAUACGGAGGAUGCGAGCGUUAUCCGGAUUUAUUGGGUUUAAAGGGUGCGUAGGUUGUUCGGUAAGUCAGCGGUGAAACCUGAGCGCUCAACGUUCAGCCUGCCGUUGAAACUGCCGGGCUUGAGUUCAGCGGCGGCAGGCGGAAUUCGUGGUGUAGCGGUGAAAUGCAUAGAUAUCACGAGGAACUACGAUUGCGAAGGCAGCUUGCCAUACUGCGACUGACACUGAAGCACGAAGGCGUGGGUAUCAAACAGGAUUAGAUACCCUGGUAGUCCACGCAGUAAACGAUGAUUACUAGGAGUUUGCGAUAUACCGUCAAGCUUCCACAGCGAAAGCGUUAAGUAAUCCACCUGGGGAGUACGCCGGCAACGGUGAAACUCAAAGGAAUUGACGGGGGCCCGCACAAGCGGAGGAACAUGUGGUUUAAUUCGAUGAUACGCGAGGAACCUUACCCGGGAUUGAAAUGUAGAUGACUGAUGGUGAAAACCGUCUUCCCUUCGGGGCUUCUAUGUAGGUGCUGCAUGGUUGUCGUCAGCUCGUGCCGUGAGGUGUCGGCUUAAGUGCCAUAACGAGCGCAACCCACAUCGGUAGUUGCUAACAGU
Molecule: ribosomal RNA, 1125 nt
Filed under: Porphyromonas gingivalis
Lineage: Bacteria; Pseudomonadati; Bacteroidota; Bacteroidia; Bacteroidales; Porphyromonadaceae
Description: bacterial SSU rRNA
Rfam family: Bacterial small subunit ribosomal RNA
Source: RNAcentral